Molecule: long non-coding RNA, 590 nt
Organism: Eriocheir sinensis (Chinese mitten crab)
Lineage: Eukaryota; Metazoa; Arthropoda; Malacostraca; Decapoda; Varunidae
Exons: 3
Source: RefSeq, a predicted model, not a curated record
AGUAACGCGGAGUGGACGGCGGCCUUGCGGGAGUCUGAAGUUUGUGUUCUGUGUGAAGUGUGGAUGGCCUUGACGUCAUUUUGCUGCCUCACGCCGAUCAUGUCGCUCGUGAAACCCGUGAAAAGUGAAGUAACUUUCGAGAUCGUAGGGGAAUUAACCUUCUAUUAAGCUAAUGUGCUAUUAGUGUCGGAAGGAAGUGAUGUAUGGAGAAAGCUGUCUCGUAAAAAAGUGAAUUGUAUCACCACCAACAACAACACCACGCCCGCUGUCGCCAGCCGGCUUGCUCGUAAAGAUUUUGCCCUGCCCUGCCUUGUUCGCGAUAUGGACGAAAUACAUAGCAGGUUCUUCAGAGACUGCAUUUCGACAGAAUUAUCUUUAUGGUUGGGGUGAUUCUUGAUCACAUAGGCAUUUAUAUGUAAAUUUUCAUGUCGAUCCGUAAUUAAUUAAGCACCCCAAUGAUUUUUUGUGUUAGUAGGGAUUGAAUUUCGCAGGAAAAAAAAUACCCUACUUUAUUUCUUUACUAACUCAACUCCUUUGGAUCAGGAACCCAAAACUGUUCACAAGACCUCCACCCGUCUAGUACAAGAUUU